Molecule: long non-coding RNA, 861 nt
Filed under: Daucus carota (carrot)
Lineage: Eukaryota; Viridiplantae; Streptophyta; Magnoliopsida; Apiales; Apiaceae
Description: long non-coding RNA (DCAR_LNC003020)
Source: RNAcentral
UCAAUAUAUAUAUAUAAAGUAGGAUGCGGGCGUCUCUAGAAUUGUUCGAUUCAGUCUUCUGAUUUUUCUUAAAUUUCGGAGAGAAAUUAUAAUUAUAAUUCAAAAAAUAAGGUUCAAGAAUUCUAAAAGUAAUACAACUCUUUUCUUAUUGAAUUCUAAAGAUGAUACAACUCUUUUCCUUUAUAUUUAAUAUUUCUUAUUGAAUUCUAAAGAUGAUACAAUUUUUUUCUUAUUUAGUAAUCCUAAAAAAAAUAGAAUUAUAUUUAAAAUAUCAGGUUUUAACCAAUAAAUAGGAAUCAUAAAAUAAAAAUAAUUAACAAAAAAAUAGGAUAUAUAAAAUAAAAAUCAUAUAUUGAUUUUAUACUAAUGUAAAUGAUUCUUGAGUAGUAUUGUGUUUGACGGGCACGGGAGGCGGCCCAAACUAAUUUUAUCUAAAUAAUAAUAAUUUUUCUAUUAGUAUUAUGUUUGAUAGGAGAGUGGCUAAUAUAAUUUUUAUCUAUGUUAUAAUGUUUUUUUUGUUAAAACGGCGGUUCAAAAUAAUUACAAAAUAAAUUAGGAUAUAUAAAAUAGGAAUCAUAUAUUGAUCUUAUAAUAAUGUAAAUGAUUCUUGAUUAGUAUUGUGUUUGACGGGCACGGGAGGCGGCCCAAACAAAUUUUUAUCUAAAUAAUAAUAAAUUUUCUAUUAGUAUUAUGUUUGACGGGAAAGUGGCUAAAAUAAUAUUAGUAUUAUGUUUGACGGGAAUUAUAAUUAUAAUUCAAAAAAUCAGAUUCAAGAAUUCUAAAAGUAAUACAACUAUUUCCUUAUCGAAUUCUAAAGAUGAUACAAUUCUUUUCUUAUUUAGUAUUUCUUAUUGAAUUCUA